ACUCAUGACCAUGAGAUCAAGACCUGAGCUGAGGUCGAGUCAGUUGCUCAAUCAGCUGAGCCACCCAAGCAGCCCGAGAUGAAACAUGUUUUAAGGAAUGUAGAAGCAUCCUUCUUAGCAAUUGGCAUAUUUCCAGCUUAGCUGCUGACGGCAUAAGACUAGAACUAUGCUAAAUGCCUUUAUGCAUUGUAUUCACUGGAUCCUUCAUAACACCCUGCAAGUAUCAUUAG
Callorhinus ursinus (northern fur seal) is the source of this 230-nucleotide long non-coding RNA. RefSeq lists it as uncharacterized. The record is from RefSeq and is a predicted model, not a curated record. NCBI's taxonomy places the organism in Eukaryota, Metazoa, Chordata, Mammalia, Carnivora, Otariidae.